GAGGCUAUGGCUCAGCGGCAGAGCGCUUGCCUAGCAUGUAUGAGGCACUGGGUUUGAUUCUCAGUACCACA
Molecule: transfer RNA, 71 nt
Filed under: Marmota monax (woodchuck)
Lineage: Eukaryota; Metazoa; Chordata; Mammalia; Rodentia; Sciuridae
Description: tRNA.Ala
Rfam family: tRNA (bases 6-66)
About the family: Transfer RNA (tRNA) molecules are approximately 80 nucleotides in length. Their secondary structure includes four short double-helical elements and three loops (D, anti-codon, and T loops). Further hydrogen bonds mediate the characteristic L-shaped molecular structure. tRNAs have two regions of fundamental functional importance: the anti-codon, which is responsible for specific mRNA codon recognition, and the 3' end, to which the tRNAs corresponding amino acid is attached (by aminoacyl-tRNA synthetases). tRNAs cope with the degeneracy of the genetic code in two manners: having more than one tRNA (with a specific anti-codon) for a particular amino acid; and 'wobble' base-pairing, i.e. permitting non-standard base-pairing at the 3rd anti-codon position.
Source: RNAcentral